UUGCCCAUAGUAGAUUACAAAGUUGUGCAACAGUGUAGCAUUGAAUAUUUAAAGUAGAAAUCAUUUGCAAUAAUUUUAACAAUAUGAAUACUUCUAUACUAGUAGUAUACUAUUUUGCUUAUGGAUCGAAUAUGCUCGAUUGUAGGUUUAAUAUUAAUAUACCACGUGCUAAGGUUGUAGGAAUUGGACAAUUAGAGAAUUACAGACUCGAUUUUUUUGGGUAUGGAAAAUCAUGGAAUGGAUCGGGGGCAACAAUUGUUAGAGCUCGUGAUUCUCAAGUUUGGGGUGUGAUCUGGAAAAUGCCUGAAAGUAAAGUAGCCGAUUUAGAUCGACAAGAAGGUGUACACGUCGAUUUAUACAAAGCGAUUGAGAUUAAAGUUACAAGUUUUAGCGGUAAAGUUUAUUAUUGCCGGAGCUAUAAAGCAGUUGUAGAUCCUAAGCCAGCUGUUAAGCUUGAUCAAUUACCAGACAAUCGAUUGCCUUCUUCAUUAUAUAUGUGACUAUAUUGCAUUGAAAGUUUUGAUAAAAGGUGCUCAGGAUCACCAUUUACCACAGGAUUAUAUCAAAUUUAUGAAAACUAUAAGACACAAUAACAUUACUGAUGUCUACCCUGAGGGAUUAGAGGCUUGUGGUUUAACCGGUCAUUAGAUGCCCUUCCGUUUUAUAACAUUACAAAUUUAUAAUAAAAUUAUUAAAUAAAAAGUAAUUUAAAAAUUUUAGGUUUUAUAAAAAUUUAACUAAAAUUACUAGUGAGU
Microplitis mediator is the source of this 755-nucleotide RNA transcript. It is a transcript of the gene named gamma-glutamylcyclotransferase-like, with no coding region annotated. The transcript is spliced from 4 exons. NCBI's taxonomy places the organism in Eukaryota, Metazoa, Arthropoda, Insecta, Hymenoptera, Braconidae. The record is from RefSeq and is a predicted model, not a curated record.